This 371-nucleotide ribosomal RNA is filed under the name Lynceus insularis. Its description in RNAcentral is "partial large subunit ribosomal RNA". It matches the Rfam family "Bacterial large subunit ribosomal RNA", at positions 1932 to 2533 of the family's 2925-position model. Lineage: Eukaryota; Metazoa; Arthropoda; Branchiopoda; Diplostraca; Lynceidae. The record is from RNAcentral.
CGCGGUAAUUUGACCGUGCUAAGGUAGCAUAAUCAUUUGUCUUUUAAUUGGAGACUGGUAUGAAAGGUAAAACAAGAAAUUUGCUGUCUUAAAAAAAUAAAUUGAAUUUUAUUUUUUAGUGAAAAAGCUAAAAUAAUUUUGUGGGACGAUAAGACCCUAUAGAUCUUUAUUAUUUUUAUAAUGUUGGAUUAUAAACAUAAUUUUAUUGGGGCGAUAGGAAGAAAAAAAUAUCUCUUCAUAAUAAAAGAUACAAAUAAGUAAAUAAUAAGAUGAUCCUGAAAGAUGGAAUAAAAGAAAAAGUUACCUUAGGGAUAACAGCGUAAUAUUUUUUUAGAGUUCUUAUCGAAAAAAAUGUUUGCGACCUCGAUGUU